AUUGAACGCUGGCGGCAGGCCUAACACAUGCAAGUCGAGCGGAUGAAGGGAGCUUGCUCCUGGAUUCAGCGGCGGACGGGUGAGUAAUGCCUAGGAAUCUGCCUGGUAGUGGGGGAUAACGUCCGGAAACGGGCGCUAAUACCGCAUACGUCCUGAGGGAGAAAGUGGGGGAUCUUCGGACCUCACGCUAUCAGAUGGGCCUAGGUCGGAUUAGCUAGUUGGUGGGGUAAAGGCCUACCAAGGCGACGAUCCGUAACUGGUCUGAGAGGAUGAUCAGUCACACUGGAACUGAGACACGGUCCAGACUCCUACGGGAGGCAGCAGUGGGGAAUAUUGGACAAUGGGCGAAAGCAUGAUCCAGCCAUGCCGCGUGUGUGAAGAAGGUCUUCGGAUUGUAAAGCACUUUAAGUUGGGAGGAAGGGCAGUAAGUUAAUACCUUGCUGUUUUGACGUUACCAACAGAAUAAGCACCGGCUAACUUCGUG
Molecule: ribosomal RNA, 484 nt
Filed under: uncultured bacterium
Lineage: Bacteria
Description: partial 16S ribosomal RNA
Rfam family: Bacterial small subunit ribosomal RNA
Source: RNAcentral